GUUUCCUCUCCUGGUGUCCCGUCGCGGCUUGGGACCCGGCAAGAUGGGCAAGAAGGGCAAGAAGGAGAAGAAGGGCCGCGGCGCGGAGAAGACGGCCGCCAAGAUGGAGAAGAAGGUGUCUAAGCGCUCGCGGAAGGAGGAGACGUGACUGAGCCCAGUCGAAUGACACUGACUGGAGGAAAGCUGAGCGGGCUGUGGCUCUGUGGCGGGUCCUGGGAACAAGUCUCACGUGUGCCUGCUUGCUUGCCCUAGGAAGACCUGGAAGCGCUCAUAGCCCAUUUCCAGACACUCGAUGCCAAGAGGACUCAGACUGUGGAAAUUCCGUGCUCCCCGCCCUCACCAAGACUUCUUUGUAUAACGAGCUCUAUGUCUACAAUAUCAGAAAGGACACCUGGACCAAAGUUGACAUCCCCAGUCCACCUCCGAGGCGCUGUGCUCACCAGAUCAACAGGCGGUCCUUCGGGUCGGAGUGGACAUCGGAUGGUGGCCUGGAAGAGACAAUUGAUCCUUUUUGGUGGCUUCCAUGAAAGUACACGGGAUUACAUCUACUACAACGACGUGU
Molecule: small RNA, 562 nt
Filed under: Pan troglodytes (chimpanzee)
Lineage: Eukaryota; Metazoa; Chordata; Mammalia; Primates; Hominidae
Description: processed transcript
Source: RNAcentral